UUUUUUUUGGUAUUUCUGUGGUUGGUUGUAAUUUCUACAUUUUCCUUUCUUAUUGUAUUUGUUUCCUCUGUCUUUUCUUCUUGGGGAGCCUGGCCAGAGGUUUGUCAAUUUUGUUUAAUUUCUAUUUUAUUUAUUUCCUCCCUGAUCUUUAUUAUUUCUUUCCUUCUGCUGACUUUAAGUUUUGUUUGCUCUUCUUUUUCUAAUUCUUAGAGGUGGUAAGUCAGGUUGUCUAUUUGAGAUAGAUUGUUCUUGUUUUUUGAGGAGGGCCUAGGAACUUUCCUCUUAGGACUGCUUUCGCUGCAUCCCAUAGAUUUUAUGUGGUUGUGUUUUCAUGAUCAUUUGUCUCAAAGUGUUUUUUAAUUUCUUCUUUGAUUUCAUUGUUGACCCAUUGGGUUUUUAGUAGCAUGUAGUUUAGUCUCUGUGGAGUCAUUUUUUUCUCGUUUGUUUUACUGUGGUUGAUUUCUGGCUUCAUGCUAUUGUGGUCAGAAAAGAUGCUUGAAAUAAUUUCUAUCCUCUUAAAUUUGUUGAGGCUUCUUUUGUUUCUAAGUAUGUGGUAUAUCUUAGAGAAUGUUCCAUGAGCACUUGAAAAGAAUGUAUCUUCUGUUUCUUGGGGAUUAUAAUGUCUUAAAAAUAUCAACCAAGUCCAGCUGUUGUAUUGUGUCAGUAUCUCCAUUUCCUUAUUGAUUUUCUGUCUGGGAGACCUGUCCAAUGCUGUUAGUAGGGUGUUAAAGUCUCCUGUGAUUGUGUUCCCAUCAGUUUCUCCCUGUAUGUCUGUUAGUAUUUGCUUUAUGUAUUUAGGUGCUCCUAUAUUGGGUGCAUAUUUGUUAACAAGUAUAGUAUCUUCACCUUGUAUUGUUCCUGUGGUCAUUAUAUAGUGUCCUUUAUCCUUCUUUAUGGCCUUUGUUUUAAAGUCUUAUUUUGUAUGAAAUCAGUACUGCUACUCCAGCUUUCUUGUCAUUUCUGUUUGCAGGAAGCAUCUUUUUCCAUCCUCUCACUUUCAGUCUGUGUGUGUCCUUCACCCUAAUGUGGGUUUCUUAUAGGCAGGAUAUUGUAGGCUUUUGUUUCAUUAUCCAGUCUGCCAGCCACUGGUCUUCUGUGUAAACUAGUGGCUGGCAAAUAGCGAAGUGGCAAAUGGUAAACAUUUUAGACAUUGCAGGCCAAGUGCGGUUUCUGUUGCAUGUGUGUGUGUGUGUGUGUGUGUGUGUUACCACCCUUUAACAUAUAAAACCCUCAUGGACAAACCCCAGUGGGCUGCAGGCUGGAUUAGGCCUGCGUGCCAGAGUUCGCCAACCCCUGGUCUAAAUCAGUGAGCUCAACCCCAUGGACACAGACUAAUGACACACUUCUAAGCUGAGAGCUGCUAGCUCUGACAUCUGUCGCUACUGUUCCUAAUACCUGAUAAUUUUGUGCCUUGCUGACAUAGAUCUCUCUUUAGGACUCUGUUCACCUCAGAUAGAAGCUUUUUCUCCUUUUAUGUCCCUUGUGCCUCAGGGGCAGGAGAUUGGAUAGGGGUCCCCACUUCCAGACAACUUCUCCCUUAGUUUUUUGAAGUUACAUCAUUAUCCCCAUUUCCUUAUUAUCUUACUUCCCAGAAGCUGCCUCUGUCCUUUCAUUAAAGACUAGCUCUUGGCUCAGUUUUAUCCUUUAUUUCCGUUGUCUUAAUGAUCCCGGUAGUCUUGUGGAUGAUAGAUCUGACCCUGUGAUCUUGAAGUUCACAGUCUGUCCAUCCCAUCGGGCCUCUCAGUGAUCACACCAGGACCUCCUGUGAACUGGGCGUGGAGCAUUCCCGUCUCCUGUCCCUCCCACUGCUGACCUUCCACACUCCGACCUCUUUUCUCUCUUUAGGCAUCACCUGUCCCGUCUUCCAGUGGUUCUUGUUCAGCUUGGAUUCUGAGUUCAUGGUUGCUUCCUUGCACAUGCUCUCCAUCCCUCUGGCCUCUUGCGCAUCUAAACCAGGCGAUGCUCAGUUAUCCGUCUCCUUCAUACCUGCUGUCUGUAAGGAGCUCAACAUUCCUGGAGGGUAGCAACAGUCUGGUUUUCUCAUUUGUGUUUGCAAGGCUCAGGUGGAUUCUCAGCGCUGCUUAGCAGGUUCACCAUUUCCCUAAAAAAAUUGUUUUCCUACUUUGAGACAGUUAUUUUACAACUGUCUCAUACUCUGUACUUGCCUCCUCGGCGUUCAGCUGGUGACCUCUUACACAUCUUUGAGAAAACAGGAACCACCAUUUUUCUUCCUUCCACUUCAGUGCAUGCAGUGCCGUUUCUCCUUUCAGAGGCAGAGACUUGUGUUCCAGGUCCCGUUCCCCGUGACCUUCUCGGGAACCUUGAUUCUUCCGGGUUCUUCAUGUAAUUUCUCAGGCUAGAACACUGGCUGUGUGUCGUCCUAGACUUCCCGUGCUCCUGCCCCUGCCCUCCCCCUGUCUCAUUCAGGUAGGAUUUCUGGUUCAGUUCCCAAAAAGAAAGUGGGGUCAGCUCGUGCCGCGCCAUCUGCACUGCUCACUCUCCCCUGAGCCACCGCGUCCUGCUUGUACUGCACGUAGUAGCUCCUUCACCGACCUCAUGCCACCAUUCUUGGUCCUUUCAAUCCAUCCUUCAGAGUUGCUCAUGAAUUUUUGAAAACAUACAGUAAAAUAAGCUGCUUCUGUGUUGAGUAAUGUUGCAAUAUUCCAUUCCAUUUUUUUUUUUUAUGGAAUGUUUGUUUGUUGGGGUAUAAUUUAGUUUCUGAUCACUUUUUUUUUAAGACUUUUUUUUUCCUAAGAAGUUUUUAUGUUCACAUCAAUAUUGAGAGGAAGGCAGAGAGAUCUCUUGUAUGCCCCUCAACCCCACUCACGCGUGGCCUUCCCUCCUACCGACAUCCCCCAUCAGAAUGGGGCAUUUAUUCCAGUCGAUGAACCUUCAUUCACAACCACUGCAUUCUGAGUGAAAUGUGUUUUCUGUCCCAGGGCCGCAGAGGCCUGGAGUGAAUGGACUCCUGACUGCCCCUCCAGCCUCAGCUGGUUUCCUCUGGCUCUGUUUCACACGUGCUGGCCUGUCCAUUCCUGGAGUGGCCAGGCUGUGUCCGACGGUGGACCUUGUGUGUAUCCAGUGAGGCCAGGCUUGGUCGCAGCUGACCUGAACCUUAGAAUACGUCUGAUUGUCCUAGAACAGGAGGAUAUAGGACGCUGAUGAGGAACUGCCACAGGGCCUUCGCAUUUACCUCCCUAUCAUGGGAGGACAAGGGAGGCAGUUUGGCGUUGCCUCCCGGGUUCUGAUGGAAUAGGAGACUUCCCCCCCCUCCCCGGAGCCACCGGAGCGCACCUACAGGCUGUGACUUGCUUAGCUGUGUCGUGGGACUGGCCCUGCUCCUUAUGCUGUGUUGUCGUGUCAUCUGGCCCCUUUUCUUUUUGCCUGUUUCCUUGGGACAAGAUUCAAGGGGAGUGGGCACCUGUGUUCGUCUUUCUUUUGCUGUCUCUGUAAGUAAUGAAUGGCCUUACUCUAACAAGGGCUUGUUUCCUCACUGGCUGAAGCGUCCUGGACAUUCCUGGUCCAGGACUUUGCAGCCUGCAUCGCCUUCUCCCUGAGGUAGAGUCUCUCCCCCGACUUGCUGUCCUGGUAGCCCUGUCACAGCUCCCAGUCUCAGAUGGUUAGCUGGACUCACAAUGAGUGAUCUGUGAUCUGAGUGUUUGUUGUCACCUGGGAGGUGCGAGAAGCCUGCAGAGUCGCGUAUUCAGUUUGGGCACAGUUAGCAGUUGAUAGAAAGGCCUGCAGGCGUCUGGGCUGGGCCGCCUGCUGACCCUGAAUCCAGGCUUGGAAGCUGGGGCUUUGAGCAGGAUGUUUUCCCCACUAAGCACUGAAGUUUUUAUAUUAGAAAUAGAUUCCGAAGGCUUUUUCUUAGUAGUUAUUAUCUGUGGGUAGAAAAAUGCUGCUAUGUUUUUUUGUAUAUCCAAGCCUUAUUCAUAAGAAAUUUUCUUCUCUAGAUUACAUUGAUUUUUCUUAAAGUUUUUUUUUUUUUAAACAGGGUUUGAAAGUCUGUAUAGAUUCUUUGCAUUGGUUUUCCCUUGUUAAUACACCUAUUUAUUCCUUUCUAAAAUGUCGUGGGUUAAUUUAUUCCUUUCUAAAAUGUUGGCCUUAAAAGAAUUAUAAAUAUGUUCAGACCCUGUUUAAAAACUCCGAUCAUUGUAAAACCUUAAGAACUCAAGGCUGUUACAGAUAACAAAUGCAGAAAUCCAGGUAAGUUAGGCAGAAAGCAUAGAAACCACAACAAAGCUUUGGGUCACUUGUUUAAUGUACAGAGUCGUUCACAGGUAAUUCUUUUCCUUAAUUUUUCUUAGUACACAUUAUGCACAAAAACAGUAAACUGUUAAUGCAAGAGACUUAGGUAAGACCAAAAGGAGUACAAAUGCUCAGUCCCCGAAAUUGCACACAGGUAGAAUCGUCUUUCCUUGUUUGUUUUAAUGCAGUUUCAAAUGGGCUUUCUUCAGAUGUGGAGGAAACACUGCAGCCCAAGAUAACAGUGCUCCCUGUCAGCUGUCGAUAUGUAAAAUAGCACCUUUGGGCUGACGUCGGGAAAGAAAAAAGUUUCUCAUCUUUCUUAAUUAAAGUGUAAGUCGUAAGCAAUCACCAGGUAACAACUACAAUAAUGGUAAUUAGAAGUUUUAAGAGCUCUGCUUUGUUCCAAAAUAUUCAUUGGCUCGGCCGGGAGAGCUGAGCUGUCCAGCAGAGGGACCAGUCUUCCCCCCUCCCCUCCAUGACAAUCAUAAUAUCUUAGUGAUGUCAUUGCUCUAAUGAGCUAAUUUUCCAGCCCAAAAAUAAAUAUUUUAGGACCUUCUGCAAAACAAGAUAAAUGUAACUAUGAGGCCAUCUCUGUAAUCACAUCUAACAGCAGCUCAGAGGGAGACUGAAUCCCGGGGCACUUGGGAAGACUCCUUCAUACAUAGAUACAGAGAGAGAGAAGGAAGACGGGUAUGUACAUCCUAUCUUCCUUCAGUUUCUCCACCGCUAUAUAUCCCAGGGCUGGGAAUCAUUUUUGUCUUGUUUGUGUUUAUAUUUGAACUUAUUUGCCUUUUUGGCUUCACUUAAAAAAAAAAAACAGUAACUGGAUUUCAUUUUCUUUACAAUUUCAAUUUAAUCUUUGAUUUUAUACAAUAAAAAUGACAGUUCUUUAAAAAAAAUUUAACAGCAUAAUUGUCUGUUUUGUGGUAUUGAUAAUACCACAGAUUCAUGAUUAUAAAAAGCCAAGGUUUUAGCAGAGCUGUACGUUUAUUCUUCAAUUUCAUUCCUUUGUUUCAAUUCCAGUUUAUUUCUUAGAUGAGCAAGAAAAUGUGCUUCAAAAUACUGUCAUUCUGGAGAGAAGUUUUUUUCGAAAGGCAUAUCCAGUCCACAAAAGCUCUUUCAGAGCCAAGCCCGUUCACUGUACUGUUGCCACACAGAAUAUAAAAGAAAAUGAUCAACAUCAAGUUUUAAACAUACAUAGUUAUUUCAUAUUGUUUGAACCAUGAGCAGCCAUUGCAGGAAAACCUUUUACAGAUUUAAAUUCAGGAGUUUAGGAUUUAAAAAAGUGAGAGGAAGGGCAGAAUAAUGCUGAGUUUUUAAUCUCUUAGGGAGCUGUAUUAUUUCCUCAUUUCCAGAAAGUCAAAGCCCAUUCAAGUUAAUUUUGAGAAUUUAGGUAUCAUCUUUUAUUAAGACAGUAAUGCGUGUUUUUAUUUUUCAUCCUAGAACUUCUUAGUGUUCAGUGUAUCCCUUAAUAAAUGAGGCCUGAUUUUAGCUGGUCAUCUCCUGCUGUGAAAUGAGCUAUGCUAAGGAACUGGGACUACUGGGAUUCAGUGUCAGCCACUACUAAUGCUGUAGCCUCUUUCUCCUCAGUGGAAGGUAAUUUCUUUUUCCUUUUUCCUAUGAUACCUGUGAAGAACAAGCACCCUCAGUUACAAAGUGCAUCAGUGUGAUCCCCAGAUUUGUGCAGUGCGAUACCCAGGCUUUGGUUCUGUGUCCAUCGUGGUCGCCUUUUCACAAUAAUAAAUAGGACAGCUAACAAAAGUAAAUCACCUUGUUAUACGUAAGACAUCUUUCUUUGACAGGUCACUGUAUUUAUAAUCAUUAAUCCAGCUCACUGCAAUAUUACUCACACUUCAGUUUUACAUGGAUAUGCAAAGAAUACAAUAAUCGACUGAACUGUCAAACCUAAACAACUCAAUUUAUUAUCACAGAGUCUGUUGAAUGUUUUUGUUUCCCAGAUGAGCAAAAGGAAAUAAAUACUGUCGGAUUUUUAAAGUGAA
This is a long non-coding RNA of Camelus dromedarius (Arabian camel), 6248 nucleotides long. RefSeq lists it as uncharacterized. The transcript is spliced from 2 exons. Lineage: Eukaryota; Metazoa; Chordata; Mammalia; Artiodactyla; Camelidae. The record is from RefSeq and is a predicted model, not a curated record.